UACGGGGGGGGUAAGCGUUGUUCGGAAUUACUGGGCGUAAAGGGCUCGUAGGCGGCCAACUAAGUCGGACGUGAAAUCCCUCAGCUUAACUGGGGAACUGCGUCUGAUACUGGAUGGCUUGGAUUUGGGAGAGGGAUGCGGAAUUCCAGGUGUAGCGGUGAAAUGCGUAGAUAUCUGGAGGAAUACCGGUGGCGAAGGCGGCAUCCUGGACCGACAUUGACGCUGAGGAGCGAAAGCUAGGGGAGCAAACGGG
RNAcentral lists this ribosomal RNA (253 nucleotides) under uncultured bacterium. Its description in RNAcentral is "partial 16S ribosomal RNA". It matches the Rfam family "Bacterial small subunit ribosomal RNA", at positions 524 to 776 of the family's 1533-position model. The record is from RNAcentral.